AUUUGCCAAUUCUCCUUUCUCUCUCUAAAACCCCUUUUCCCAAAUUCUUUUCUGCCUUCUCUCUAGCCUCCACACUGAUUUAGCCAUUACAUGUUCCGUUAGGUGGUACCCUAGCGACCGUCUCGUAGAGAGCUUCAAAACCAUCCGAUUGGUUUUACGUUCUUCCGCCGGGCACUGUUUAAGUUCUUCCCGGGGUAGGAUACUGUUGAAAGUUGUGUUGUGUGCUAGACUGCUCAACUUUAAGAGGGAGAUGAGGCAUCUGUGGAGUAGGAGCUGGAGGGUGCCAAUGCUGUUGAGUAGCAUAGGAGCUUAUAAAUUUACCUACUUCUAUUCUUUUGAAAUACUCUACUCUUUUGUAAUUCAAGUUUUAAUUUCCUAGCUCUUUUGGAAGGAUAAAUGUAAUCCUAUUGCCAUAAUCACUUGUCC
This 426-nucleotide small RNA is filed under the name Vigna angularis var. angularis. Its description in RNAcentral is "Non-protein coding transcript". The record is from RNAcentral. Lineage: Eukaryota; Viridiplantae; Streptophyta; Magnoliopsida; Fabales; Fabaceae.